GAUCUCACUCACUUUGUACUUAGCCGACCUCCCUCCCUCCCUCUGAAAACAACUCUCAAAACUCCUAGGAAAUUUCAUCAGUGGCGCACGAGCAGAUCCUCCUGGGGAUGGGCAAUCCUCUUCUCGACAUCUCUGCCGUCGUCGACGAAGAAUUCUUGACAAAGACUUCACCCCGAAUCAAUCUUUUGACCCCCAGCACUCUUGUUUGAAGAGAUUGUAGUCGCGGUCUGUUAUAUGAGGGUUUUGUAAUUUAGAAAUAGCAAGCCUCUCAUGAAUGUAGCUGAAAUGAAGGUUUAACAUAAGUAAGAAAGGAAUCUAAGGUUUAUGCAUUUCUAGGAAGCUAAGUAGUAAAAGAAAGUACCACAAAAUGGUUUUGGUUUAGUGCCAAAAGUUAAUUGCAAGUGCAUAGUCAAAGCAAAAUACCCUGGUCAACCUGUCGAAACCUGUACCUAAUACUGCUUAGCCAAAAUCUGAUUCGGUCAUAGAAUCAUUGCAGUUAAAUAGGAGUAAACAAAACGCAGAGAAGAAUUCACCAUUCCGAAGUUCACACAA
Malus domestica (apple) is the source of this 552-nucleotide non-coding RNA. The record is from RefSeq and is a predicted model, not a curated record. NCBI's taxonomy places the organism in Eukaryota, Viridiplantae, Streptophyta, Magnoliopsida, Rosales, Rosaceae.